UAUUCUGCCCCAUGGGGAAGGAUGAGAAGCUUCGACUAAGGUUCGACUCGAGCGCAGCGAGAGAACGUUGCCGCAGAGGCAACGGCCCGAAGGGCGAGGCGCUUUAGCGCCGAGUAAUCCUUCCCCCACCACCA
Molecule: small RNA, 134 nt
Filed under: Klebsiella pneumoniae
Lineage: Bacteria; Pseudomonadati; Pseudomonadota; Gammaproteobacteria; Enterobacterales; Enterobacteriaceae
Description: RtT sRNA
Rfam family: RtT RNA
About the family: This family represents a bacterial cis-regulatory element known as RtT RNA. The exact function of RtT is unknown although it is thought that it may be involved in changing the cellular response in relation to amino acid starvation.
Source: RNAcentral